This 423-nucleotide ribosomal RNA is filed under the name uncultured bacterium. Its description in RNAcentral is "bacterial SSU rRNA". It matches the Rfam family "Bacterial small subunit ribosomal RNA", at positions 355 to 775 of the family's 1533-position model. The record is from RNAcentral.
UGAGGAAUAUUGGUCAAUGGGCGCAAGCCUGAACCAGCCAUCCCGCGUGCAGGAAGACGGCCCUAUGGGUUGUAAACUGCUUUUCCAGGGGGAGAAUUUUUCUGUCGUGACAGGAAUUGACGGUACCCUGGGAAUAAGCAUCGGCUAACUCCGUGCCAGCAGCCGCGGUAAUACGGAGGAUGCGAGCGUUAUCCGGAUUUAUUGGGUUUAAAGGGUGCGUAGGCGGAUUGAUAAGUCAGUGGUGAAAUCCUGCAGCUUAACUGCAGAACUGCCAUUGAUACUGAUAGUCUUGAGUUUGGUUAAGGUAGGCGGAAUGUGUAAUGUAGCGGUGAAAUGCUUAGAUAUUACACAGAACACCAAUUGCGUAGGCAGCUUACUGAGCCGACACUGACGCUGAGGCACGAAAGCGUGGGGAUCGAACAG